This 253-nucleotide ribosomal RNA is filed under the name uncultured bacterium. RNAcentral's name for it is "partial 16S ribosomal RNA". It matches the Rfam family "Bacterial small subunit ribosomal RNA", at positions 524 to 776 of the family's 1533-position model. The record is from RNAcentral.
UACGCAGGGUGCAAGCGUUGUCCGGAAUUAUUGGGCGUAAAGGGCUCGUAGGCGGCCAACUAAGUCGGAUGUGAAAUCCCCAGGCUCAACCUGGGAACUGCAUCCGAUACUGGAUGGCUUGAAUUCGGGAGAGGGAUGCAGAAUUCCCGGUGUAGUGGUGGAAUGCGUAGAUAUCGGGAGGAACACCCGUGGCGAAGGCGGCUCUCUGGGACGGUACUGACGCUGAGACGCGAAAGCGUGGGGAGCGAACAGG